UGGGGAAUAUUGGACAAUGGGCGCAAGCCUGAUCCAGCCAUGCCGCGUGAGUGAUGAAGGCCCUAGGGUUGUAAAGCUCUUUCACCGGUGAAGAUAAUGACGGUAACCGGAGAAGAAGCCCCGGCUAACUUCGUGCCAGCAGCCGCGGUAAUACGAAGGGGGCUAGCGUUGUUCGGAUUUACUGGGCGUAAAGCGCACGGAGGCGGACUAUUAAGUCAGGGGUGAAAUCCCGGGGCUCAACCCCGGAACUGCCUUUGAUACUGGUAGUCUUGAGUUCGAGAGAGGUGAGUGGAAUUCCGAGUGUAGAGGUGAAAUUCGUAGAUAUUCGGGGGAACACCAGUGGCGAAGGCGGCUCACUGGCUCGAUACUGACGCUGGGGUGCGAAAGCGUGGGGAGCAAACAGG
RNAcentral lists this ribosomal RNA (404 nucleotides) under Actinomycetes bacterium. RNAcentral describes it as "Actinobacteria bacterium partial 16S ribosomal RNA". It matches the Rfam family "Bacterial small subunit ribosomal RNA", at positions 355 to 776 of the family's 1533-position model. Lineage: Bacteria; Bacillati; Actinomycetota; Actinomycetes. The record is from RNAcentral.